This 472-nucleotide ribosomal RNA is filed under the name uncultured bacterium. RNAcentral describes it as "bacterial SSU rRNA". It matches the Rfam family "Bacterial small subunit ribosomal RNA", at positions 335 to 803 of the family's 1533-position model. The record is from RNAcentral.
ACUCCUACGGGAGGCAGCAGUGGGGAAUAUUGCACAAUGGGCGCAAGCCUGAUGCAGCCAUGCCGCGUGUGUGAAGAAGGCCUUCGGGUUGUAAAGCACUUUCAGUUGUGAGGAAGGUGGUGUCGUUAAUAGCGGCAUCAUUUGACGUUAGCAACAGAAGAAGCACCGGCUAACUCCGUGCCAGCAGCCGCGGUAAUACGGAGGGUGCGAGCGUUAAUCGGAUUUACUGGGCGUAAAGCGUGCGUAGGCGGCUUUUUAAGUCGGAUGUGAAAUCCCUGAGCUUAACUUAGGAAUUGCAUUCGAUACUGGGAAGCUAGAGUAUGGGAGAGGAUGGUAGAAUUCCAGGUGUAGCGGUGAAUGCGUAGAGAUCUGGAGGAAUACCGAUGGCGAAGGCAGCCAUCUGGCCUAAUACUGACGCUGAGGUACGAAAGCAUGGGGAGCAACAGGAUUAGAUACCCUGGUAGUGUACUGU